RNAcentral lists this long non-coding RNA (790 nucleotides) under Arabidopsis lyrata. RNAcentral describes it as "long non-coding RNA (ALYR_LNC001825)". The record is from RNAcentral. Lineage: Eukaryota; Viridiplantae; Streptophyta; Magnoliopsida; Brassicales; Brassicaceae.
GCUGGACAUAGCCAUCAGUUGAGGAGUGUUCUGAUGGUUGUUGGUGCGUUCACGCACUACAGAGCUGGGCUUUGUGUAUCUUAAGUGGAGAGAUAUUGAAAGAUGUUGAAGAUGAAGAUUGAAGUUGAAGGAAGAUUAGAUGGAAUCUCUCAUGUUUUAAAUCUUGAUUGUAGCUUCAUAUAAAAGUUGGAUUAUGUAAAGUCUAUGUGUAAUCAAUUGUUCAAUUUUUUUUUCUUUAUUCAACAAAAGAAUUCAUAUAUUGUUAUUACAGAAGCUGACAGAAGAAUGUUCUUACAAGUUGGGAUGUCUAGAAGACUGGAACCAACAAGGAUGUCUCUUGCUAGUUAAUUUAUAUGACAAAAGGCUGAAACAUGAACUACUUUUUAAGAUGAUUCCAGUCUUGAUUGCACCAUUAAACGUAUCAUAAUCCAGCGUCAUACUCACAUAAGCCUUCUUGUGAACCUCACGCAAGCCUUACUGGUUCCAGUCUGAUCAAAGUAUUAAAGUUUCUUGGUCUAGAUCCUUGCACUUGAAAGUUCAUCUCCUAAAGUCAAGAAACAUUAACAUAGGAAACUAGCAGAAUGAGGACAAACUUGUACCAAUUUUCACAUGUUUAGAAAAUAUUCAACUCACUUUGUUUGAUUUCUUCAGCUGCCAUUCUUUGAAUCAAGUUUUCAGUUAUCAGCUCCAACCUGUAAAAAUGGUUGCAGAACAAAAUGAAGAGUAAAAUUUUUAGUAUCUCAAAAUCCAGAUUCUAGUUUUUUUUCAAUUGUAUCUAAAAACACACACA